CCUACGGGAGGCAGCAGUGAGGAAUAUUGGUCAAUGGGCGUAAGCCUGAACCAGCCAAGUCGCGUGAGGGAUGAAGGUUCUAUGGAUCGUAAACCUCUUUUAUAAGGGAAUAAAGUUCGGGACGUGUCCCGUUUUGUAUGUACCUUAUGAAUUAGGAUCGGCUAACUCCGUUCCAGCCGCCGCGGUAAUACGGAGGAUCCGAGCGUUAUCCGGUUUUAUUGGGUUUAAAGGGUGCGUAGGCGGCCUUUUAUGUCAGCGGUGAAAUGCGGUGGCUCAACCAUAGAAUUGCCGUUGAAACUGGGAGGCUUGAGUGUGUUUGAGGCAGGCGGAAUGCGUGGUGUAGCGGUGAAAUGCUUAGAUAUCACGCAGAACCCCGAUUGCGAAGGCAGCCUGCCAAGCCAUGACUGACGCUGAUGCACGAAAGCGUGGGGAUCAAACAGGAUUAGAUACCCCAGUAGUC
Molecule: ribosomal RNA, 460 nt
Filed under: uncultured bacterium
Lineage: Bacteria
Description: partial 16S ribosomal RNA
Rfam family: Bacterial small subunit ribosomal RNA
Source: RNAcentral